Molecule: ribosomal RNA, 253 nt
Filed under: uncultured bacterium
Lineage: Bacteria
Description: partial 16S ribosomal RNA
Rfam family: Bacterial small subunit ribosomal RNA
Source: RNAcentral
UACGUAGGGUGCAAGCGUUAAUCGGAAUUACUGGGCGUAAAGCGUGCGCAGGCGGUGAUGUAAGACAGAUGUGAAAUCCCCGGGCUUAACCUGGGAACCGCAUUUGUGACUGCAUAGCUGGAGUACGGCAGAGGGGGAUGGAAUUCCGCGUGUAGCAGUGAAAUGCGUAGAUAUGCGGAGGAACACCGAUGGCGAAGGCAGUCCCCUGGGCCUGUACUGACGCUCAUGCACGAAAGCGUGGGGAGCAAACAGG